CUGUUUAAAGAUAUGAGAGUCCACCUCUUGCAUCAGUGUGACCUGGAUGUGAGACGUAGAGUCAAAGGAGAUCAUUUUGGAACUUUAAAGUUUAAUGGCUGCCCUAUUGGAUUUUUGAAUUGCAUGGGGGCCUGUAGGGCUUUUGUUUUGGCCAAUUUAUUCCAUUUAGAAUGAGUGUAUUUACCCCAUGCUUGUACCUCAUUGUAUCUAGGAAGUAACUAACUUGCUUUUGAUUUUACAGGCUCACAGGCAGAAGGGACUUGCCUUAUCUCAGAUGGGACUUUGGACUUGGAUUUUUGCUGGAAUAAGUUAAGACUUUAGGGGGCUGAUUGUGUUUUGAAAUAUAAGAAUGUGAGAUUUGGGAGGGACCGGGGUGGAGUAAUAUGGUUUGGCUGUGCCCCUACCCAAAUCUCAUCUUGAAUUGUUCCCAUAAUCCCCACGUGUGGGAGAAACCUCAUGGGAGGUGAUUAGAUUAUGGGGGUGAUUCCCCCAUGCUGUUCUCGUGGUAGUGGGUGAGUUCUCUUGAGAUCUGAUGAUUUUAAAAGGCGCUUUUCCCCCUUCACUCUGCCCUUCUCUCUCCUGCUGCCAUGUGAAGAAGGACAUGUUUGCUUCUCCUUUUGCCAUGACUGUCAUUUUCAUGAGACCUCGCCAACCAUGCGGAACUGUGAGUCAAUUAAACUUCUUUCCUUUAUAAAUUACCCAGUCUCAGGCAGUUCUUUAUAGCAGCAUGAGAAUGGACUAAUACAAUUUCCCAUAGAAACUUUACUGCACAUGAUGUCUGGUUUGGUGGAACUCUACGCACAGUGCCUUCAGAGGACUUGGGGUGGAGAAUUUGACCUGAGGUGUUUGCAGCAACUUAGAAACUAUCUGGAAUGAAAGCACAAUGAGGACCUAAUGGCUCCUCUCCUGCUUCAGACCACUGCAUCUUCCAGUGACCUCCAAGUCCUUAAACCUGGCUGCCUCUCAAGACCCUGCCUUUCAGGGCCAGGCACCACUCUAGGUACUGAGGAAAACGAGUUUGUUGCACCAGGACAGAGGAAGCCUUUUGCCUUUCAUCUGCUUCCAGUCCUUGCUUCCUCCAGUCCUUCGCCUUCAUCAGCUUCUCCCUGCAGAGGACAACCCAGAGGCAAUGUUGACUGCAAGCCAGCUUUUUAAGAGCUCUUCAGAGACAAAUCUUUUCAAAACACCCCCAAAGGCUAGUCCUGCACAUGUAGUUUCAUAAAAACUACGUUGAUGAAAAAUUUCCUGUUCUAGGGAAAAAAUUACCUGGUGCUAAACAUGUUCCAAUUUUUGUAAGUCUAGUAUUUUAUCACAGGCUAUUGUCUUUACUUAAUUAGCAAUGAAUCACCCACAGAAAUAUUUAUUGACAUCAGUUAUAGCCCCAGAAUUACAGUCAAUGCUUAUAAAAACUACAAAAGGUGUUUAUGAUGUGAUUUAGAACUGUGUCCCCACCCAAAUCUCAUCUUGAAUUUUAAUCCCCACAUGUUGAGGGAGGCACCUGGUGGGAGGUGAUUGGAUCAUGGGGGCAGUUUCCCCCAUGCUGUUCUCACGAUAGUGAGUGAGUUCCCAUGAGAUCUGAUAGUUUAAAUGUGUGGCACUUUCUCCAUCUCUCUCUCUCCUGCCAUCAUGUAAAAUGUAACUUGACUCCCCUUCACCUUCCACCACAAUUGUAAUUUCCUGAGGCCUCCCCAGCCAUGCAAAACUGUGAAUCAAUUAAACCUCUUUUCUUUAGAAAUUACCCAGUCUCAGGUAGUUCUUCAUAGCAGUGGGAAAAUGAAAUAAUACAGUUACUAUUUCAUAUUGGAAGCAACUAAAAUUUUUGGAGACCUAGUCUAUUCCAGUCACUAUCAGAUCCAUCUCAUCAGAGUUCCUCAUGGAUUCCUAAUCUUUUCG
RNAcentral lists this long non-coding RNA (1893 nucleotides) under Macaca mulatta (Rhesus monkey). Its description in RNAcentral is "lncRNA (ENSMMUG00000057338.1)". The record is from RNAcentral. Lineage: Eukaryota; Metazoa; Chordata; Mammalia; Primates; Cercopithecidae.